Molecule: non-coding RNA, 27 nt
Filed under: Mus musculus (house mouse)
Lineage: Eukaryota; Metazoa; Chordata; Mammalia; Rodentia; Muridae
Source: RNAcentral
UUAUAAUGGUGAUUGCUCGCGGCAUGG